RNAcentral lists this long non-coding RNA (2657 nucleotides) under Pan troglodytes (chimpanzee). RNAcentral describes it as "long non-coding RNA NONPTRT017619". The record is from RNAcentral. Lineage: Eukaryota; Metazoa; Chordata; Mammalia; Primates; Hominidae.
GCUUCACUGGGCUCCCCCGGGUGGAUGGAGGGGCCCGGCAUGCUCACUGUGGGGGCCUGGGGUACUCACGCGUGUGCGAGUAGAUGUACCAGAGUGCAGCAGUGAGCAGGGCCCCGAUGAGGAAGGCACCAAAGGUGAUGCCCAGCACGGCGGGCAGGACGAGGCCUUUGCUUGUGCAACCUAGAGAGGGCCGACGCCAUCAGCACUGCCACUCUGCCCCUGCCCCAUCCCCUACCCUGUUGUGCUGGCCCGCGUGGGCUUUGGUGCCAGCUCUGCUCAGCCAUGGACCCUCGACUUCUCUGAACCUCAGUCUCCUCUUGUAGCAAACGGGCUCAUCACAGCCAGGCCUGGCAUUGAGCCAUGGUUGCUAGGACUGUCCACCUAGAGGGCCCAGCCAGGCCUUUUGGGUCAUGCCUCUGCCCCUCAAGGCUGAUGGAGAUGGCGUUUUCAGGGAGGAUGGAUGGGGUAACGUGAGGAAACUGAGGCUCGGGAGUACAGAGCCUGCCCCAACUGCUGCAUGACCUUGGGUCAACCCUGCCCCUCUCUGAGGCCUUUAGCAGGUAGAGAAUGGGCCAGAGCAGCUCCGAGUGCCCUGCAGCUCUGCUCUUGGAUUGUUCCAAGCCUCAUUCCCUCCACAUUCCUGACUCCUGUGUGGCUAUGGGCCAAGCAGUCUUUCCUUGAGCCUCUGACAUCCGAUUCUGUGUCAUGGGGUUAUCAGCCCUGCCUUCUUGGUCCUGGGCUGGGAGUGGAGGCUCCAUCCUGGCCUGGAUGGGGUGGCAAAGAGGUAGGUGCCCCCAUCCCUCACCCCUGCCUCUGCCACCAGUGUUGGGACUCUUCUGCCUGGUGUGGGCCUGGGCCUGGGGGGAACUGAUGGAGAGGCUAGAGGGGGCGUCCUGCAGGGAGAGGCCUCAAGGAAGGCAAGGCCAGCACCCACCCUCAAAGGGCCUCUGUCCUACCCAGGAGGCUCCAUCCUUCCAGCAAGGUCAGCCAAUAACUGUGGGGAUGGAGUGGAGCCGUGAGUGGGGGCAGAGGCCUAGACUCCCACCCCACAGGGCGGUCCCGGGCAAGGGCUCUCCAUCUGCAAAGUGCAGCUCUGGCCCCUGCUCUAGGCUGCUAUGGCUCUGGGAAGCCCUCCUCCUGCCCCUUCUGGGCCGCUUUCUCUGGGGUCCCCCUUGCCAUGUGCUAUGUGCCCAGGCCGUUUCUCAGGGCUGCCCGCUGUGCCCUACUGUGACCUCAGCCACUAGAACAAACCCGAGAGACCUGGAGGGAGCUCACCAGACAGGUCAGGGGUGAUGAUGUUCAAGCGCAUGAAGACAGUCCUAUGGACUUCCUGGAGGAGAGAGAGAGAGCAGUAUGUGGCACCUUUGGGAGGCGGCUUCCAGGUUUACUCCCUGGCUCCGUGACCCCAGCCCACCCUAGGGCCUUGGCUUUGAAUCCCAUCUCCACCGCUUCGUAGCUGGAUGCCUCUGGGUGAGUCCUGGAAGAUCUGUACUGUGGGAGGGUGCCUAGUGGAUGAUCCCUGGCUGCUGCUGAAAUGUUUCCUGUGAGUUCCUGGAGGCCUUGAUGCCCAGGAGCACUGUGGAAGCACUAUGCAUCCCUCACCCUUGUGAACACUUUGGAGCUAUGAGCCAGGUCAGCCCAGAGUCCCAGGCUCACUGUGGCUGGAGGGAGAGGCCCACUUAGGGGAGUUGAAGGCUUCCCUAGCUUCCUAUGACCAGAGAAGUUUGUAAUCCUGGAGGCCUGUCUGUGCAAGGGCCUGGGGGUGACUCUGGGGGCGUCCAGGAUAGAUUGCCUGAGAGUGGGGGUCACCAGAUGGUGAAGUGUUGUGACUGGCAAAUACAGAAAGCCAGGAGUGUGUGUCCUUUGUCUGCCUCUCUUCCCUCAGGUCUCCUGUUCUUUGAGAUUACACUGGUGACCAUACUACGUGGAUGUGCGGGUGGCUAGAUUCCUGGGUGGGAGGGUGGAUGGAUGGAUGGACGGACGGGGCUUGGGGACAGCAGGCUCACACAGUUGCCCUUGGCUGCCCGGCCCUGGAUGAGUUCCACGGUGCCUCCCUCAGGCCCCAAGUCCAGGUGGCAGCUGUCUAACUGGAGCAGGAACUCGGAGAUGGAUGGGGACACUCUGACCUGCAUGGGUAGGUAGGGCCACGCGGCAUGGGCAGCUGCUCUUCACCCCACCCCACCUGCUGCCUUGAAAUAUCGGCUAGAAUUAAGAGUUCCCACCCCUGAGUCCUCACAGUGGAAGGAAAGACAUGGACCUGUCUGGGGCAGAGGAGGAGGACAGGGCCACAUCCUUGUCAGUGUCCCUGAGCAAUGCCUUCUCUGUCUCUCCCUCUCCCGUGCACCCAGGCUGUCUCCCUCCUGACUCUGGGAGUCUCAUCUCCUCUGGAGUCACGGUGGGAAGAAAGGCGGAGAGGAAGUUCCAGGAGCUGGGAGGCCUGAGGGGUGACAGGCAUGCCAGGUACCUGCACAAAGCUCUGCUGCCCCGGCUCAAUGGUGUUGGAGGCCUGGAGGAAGUGUGGGCUGAGGUAGAGGCCCAGCUGGAAAGAGAGGCUGUCCAUGUUGAGGCAGUGCACCUUUUUCUGGGGGAGGACGGGAGGGAGACUUGGUCAAUCUGGCGGCACCAGCCAGGAGGGCGAGGGGUGUGGGGAGGAACAG